GAUGAACGCUAGCGGAGGGCCUAACACAUGCAAGUCGAAUGCUGAUUUAUCGGCAUGGCAAACGGGUGCGUAACACGUGCUUUACCUGCCCCAAAGUAAGGAAUACCUGUGGAAACACAACUAAUUCCUUAUGUGCUCUACGGAGUAAAGAUUUAUCGCUUUGGGAGGGGAGUGCGGUCUACUAGAUAGUUGGUGAGGUAAUGGCUCACCAAGUCGAUGAUGGAUAGCUGGUCUGAGAGGAUGAUCAGCCACAAUGGAACUGAGACACGGUCCAUACCCCUACGGGGGGCAGCAGUGGGGAAUAUUGCACAAUGGAGGAAACUCUGAUGCAGCCACUCCGCGUGGAGGAUGACGCAUUACGGUGUGUAAACUCCUUUUCUGGAGGAAGACGACUGACGGUACUCCAGGAAUAAGCGACGGCUAACUACG
This 429-nucleotide ribosomal RNA is filed under the name uncultured bacterium. RNAcentral's name for it is "bacterial SSU rRNA". It matches the Rfam family "Bacterial small subunit ribosomal RNA", at positions 28 to 505 of the family's 1533-position model. The record is from RNAcentral.